RNAcentral lists this transfer-messenger RNA (415 nucleotides) under Anaerolineae. RNAcentral describes it as "VGOD01 sp016876015 Standard tmRNA". It matches the Rfam family "transfer-messenger RNA". Rfam says of the family: Bacterial tmRNA, also known as 10Sa RNA or SsrA, is named for its dual tRNA and mRNA-like properties. Its role is to liberate the mRNA from a stalled ribosome. The record is from RNAcentral. RNAcentral also lists the same sequence under 1 other name. Lineage: Bacteria; Bacillati; Chloroflexota.
GGGGAUGACUGGUUUCGACGGGGCAAAUAGGUCGUAAGCUGCAAGCCGAGGGGCUCCAACCUCGCAAAAAGGGAGCAAAACACAACAGCCAACACUGGCAAAGCGUUCACCUUCCCCUUCGCCCGCACCAACGCGAUGGCGAUGGCUGCGUAGGAGAGGGGUAAGGGAACAAACUGGUCGCCUCUGGCGACCACGGUGUCUUCGAUGGGGCCAGGCGGCGUCGAGGAACAUCGUCAGAGACCGUAAGGUGCGGCCCGCAGACGCCGAUGAGCGGGCCUAAGCCAAUCGGCUGGCCGGACUAGCGGACGGUGGUUACUGCUGGACCGUCCGGUGAGACUCAACAUCAGUAACUAAGCUUGUAGACGCUUGCGGUCGUUUGUUUCGGACCCGGGUUCGACUCCCGGCAUCUCCACUG